Molecule: ribosomal RNA, 555 nt
Filed under: uncultured ciliate
Lineage: Eukaryota; Ciliophora
Description: SSU rRNA
Rfam family: Eukaryotic small subunit ribosomal RNA
Source: RNAcentral
CUGGUUGAUCCUGCCAGUAGUCAUAUGCUUGUCUCAAAGACUAAGCCAUGCAUGUCUAAGUAUAAAUGUUAUACAGUGAAACUGCGAAUGGCUCAUUAAAACAGUUAUAGUUUAUUUGAUAAUCGAAUUUUACAUGGAUAACCGUGGUAAUUCUAGAGCUAAUACAUGCUGGUUAGCCUGACUUCUAGGAAGGGCUGUAUUUAUUAGAUAACAAACCAAUAUUCCUCGUGUCUAUUGUGAUGACUCGUAAUAACUGAUCGAAUCGCAUGGGCCUUGCCCGCGAUACAUCAUUCAAGUUUCUGCCCCAUCAGCUUUCGAUGGUAGUGUAUUGGACUACCAUGGCUUUAACGGGUAACGGAGGAUUAGGGUUCGAUUCCGGAGAGGGAGCCUGAGAAACGGCUACCACAUCUAAGGAAGGCAGCAGGCGCGUAAAUUACCCAAUCCUGACUCAGGGAGGUAGUGACAAGAAAUAACGGACCGAGGCUUCACGCUUCGGGAUUGCAAUGAGUAGAAUUUAAACCCCUUUACGAGGAUCAAUUGGAGGGCAAGUCUGGU